UACAGAGGUCUCAAGCGUUGUCCGGAAUCAUUGGGCGUAAAGGGCGCGUAGGUGGCGGGACAAGCGUGCGGUGAAAGCCUGGGGCUCAACCCCGGGUCGGCCGUGCGAACUGUUUUGCUUGAGCACUGUAGAGGCAGGCGGAAUUCCCGGUGUAGCGGUGAAAUGCGCAGAUAUCAGGAGGAACACCCGUGGCGAAAGCGGCUCUCUGGGACGGUACUGACGCUGAGACGCGAAAGCGUGGGGAGCAAACAGG
This 253-nucleotide ribosomal RNA is filed under the name uncultured bacterium. Its description in RNAcentral is "partial 16S ribosomal RNA". It matches the Rfam family "Bacterial small subunit ribosomal RNA", at positions 524 to 776 of the family's 1533-position model. The record is from RNAcentral.